GCAACCCCAGGUCAGGCGGCCAC
This 23-nucleotide ribosomal RNA is filed under the name Calamus hollrungii. Its description in RNAcentral is "partial 26S ribosomal RNA". Lineage: Eukaryota; Viridiplantae; Streptophyta; Magnoliopsida; Arecales; Arecaceae. The record is from RNAcentral.